Molecule: ribosomal RNA, 253 nt
Filed under: uncultured bacterium
Lineage: Bacteria
Description: partial 16S ribosomal RNA
Rfam family: Bacterial small subunit ribosomal RNA
Source: RNAcentral
GACGGGGGAGGCAAGCGUUAUCCGGAGUCACUGGGCGUGAAGCGUCUGUAGGUGGUGAUGCAAGUCACUGGUGCAAAACUCUGGCUCAACCGGAGGAAAGCCAGUGAAACUGCAUGACUAGAGUGUGGGAGAGGUAGAAGGAAUUCCCUGAGUAGCGGUGAAAUGCGUAGAUACAGGGAAGAACACCGGAGGCGAAAGCGUUCUACUGGAACACAACUGACACUGAGAGACGAAAGCUAGGGGAGCGAAUGGG